AGUUUGAUCCUGGCUCAGGAUGAACGCUAGCGGCAGGCCUAAUACAUGCAAGUCGGACGGGAUAGGAGAGCUUGCUUUCCUUGAGAGUGGCGCACGGGUGCGUAACACGUAUGUAACCUACCUUUAUCUGGGGGAUAGCCUCUCGAAAGAGAGAUUAAGACCGCAUAACAUAAUGAAACAGCAUUGUUUUAUUAUCAAAUAUUUAUAGGAUAAAGAUGGGCAUGCGGAACAUUAGCUAGUUGGUACGGUAACGGCGUACCAAGGCGACGAUGUUUAGGGGAUCUGAGAGGAUGACCCCCCACACUGGUACUGAGACACGGACCAGACUCCUACGGGAGGCAGCAGUAAGGAAUAUUGGUCAAUGGGCGAAAGCCUGAACCAGCCAUGCCGCGUGCAGGAAGACGGCCCUAUGGGUUGUAAACUGCUUUUGUACCGGAAUAAACCUUUCUACGUGUAGGAAGCUGAAUGUACGGUAAGAAUAAGGAUCGGCUAACUCCGUGCCAGCAGCCGCGGUAAUACGGAGGAUCCGAGCGUUAUCCGGAUUUAUUGGGUUUAAAGGGUGCGUAGGCGGCCUUGUAAGUCAGGGGUGAAAGACGGCAGCUCAACUGUCGCAGUGCCUUUGAUACUGCAGGGCUUGAAUACACUUGAAGUAGGCGGAAUGUGACAAGUAGCGGUGAAAUGCAUAGAUAUGUCACAGAACACCGAUUGCGAAGGCAGCUUACUAAAGUGUGAUUGACGCUGAGGCACGAAAGCGUGGGGAUCAAACAGGAUUAGAUACCCUGGUAGUCCACGCCCUAAACGAUGAAUACUCGAUGUUGGCGAUAUACGGUCAGCGUCUAAGCGAAAGCGUUAAGUAUUCCACCUGGGGAGUACGCCCGCAAGGGUGAAACUCAAAGGAAUUGACGG
Molecule: ribosomal RNA, 906 nt
Filed under: uncultured bacterium
Lineage: Bacteria
Description: bacterial SSU rRNA
Rfam family: Bacterial small subunit ribosomal RNA
Source: RNAcentral